Molecule: ribosomal RNA, 599 nt
Filed under: Chaenorhinum tenellum
Lineage: Eukaryota; Viridiplantae; Streptophyta; Magnoliopsida; Lamiales; Plantaginaceae
Description: eukaryotic LSU rRNA
Rfam family: 5.8S ribosomal RNA (bases 238-393)
Source: RNAcentral
UCGAAACCUGCAAAGCAGACCCGUGAACAUGUGUUUAACCCAAAGGGUGCCGAGCCGCGGGGGAACGAAAGCUCCUCCACGGCGAGUCCCCUUCGUCCGUGCGACGCUUGCGUAGUUCCGGGCUAACGAACCCCGGCGCGGAAUGCGCCAAGGAAAACUAUAAAGAAGCGUCGACCCCUCGCUGCCCCGUUCGCGGGUGCCUGCGGGGGAAACACGGCCUAUCUUGAAUGUCAAAACGACUCUCGGCAACGGAUAUCUCGGCUCUCGCAUCGAUGAAGAACGUAGCGAAAUGCGAUGCUUGGUGUGAAUUGCAGAAUCCCGUGAACCAUCGAGUCUUUGAACGCAAGUUGCGCCCGAAGCCAUUAGGCCGAGGGCACGUCUGCCUGGGCGUCACGCAUCGUGUCGCCCCCUCCCACUCGGGUUGGGGCGGAAAUUGGCCUCCCGUGCGUUGACUCGUGCGGCUGGCCCAAAUCUGAUCCCGCGUCGACGGAUGUCACGACAAGUGGUGGUUGAACUCUCAACUCGCGUGUUGUCGUUACUGUCUCCGUCGCACGAUCGGGCAUCAAAUCGACCCAACGGUGCAUAUUUGCGCUUUCGAG